ACCCUUUGGCCCUUUUUUGGUACGGAAUCCUAAAAAUGCAAAUUAAAAAAAAUACAUUAUAAUGAAAUCACCAGGGUAUUAAAUCUAAAAUUUGAUAAAUUCUUAAUCUUGAAAGUAUCAUAUAAAUCUAGCUAUAUUGCUUGCUCGCGGUCGAUUAUUAUUAUAAUUGUACAACGGAGGACGUAUGUUACUUAAAUCAAUUAGUAACGGAAUACGGAGUAGAUAAAAAUUACAAAAAUUGCCUACAUUUUGCCAUUAAAAAGGUACCUACUGUGGAGGUAUAUAAGUCCUACGAUUCAACUGUGUUCCGCAUUGUGACAGAGUACACAAGAUGAAGCCCUUCAUUAUAUUGUUUUUAUUCGGAUUGAUUAGUGGAGUUCUAUCUCUCGACUGGUAUAUCACCGCAAGUAGGUCCCCCAUCCCGAAAAUCAAGGCGCCGCCAUCUUUAAGGCAGAGGCUGAGACGCUUACGUGGCUAUUAUGACGACGUCAACUGAUCGGUCUCUACAAGAGACACGUUUGCUUUUUUGUGUUCUGCUAAUAAAUAUGUAUACAUUGUA
This is a long non-coding RNA of Cydia pomonella (codling moth), 559 nucleotides long. RefSeq lists it as uncharacterized. The record is from RefSeq and is a predicted model, not a curated record. The transcript is spliced from 2 exons. Lineage: Eukaryota; Metazoa; Arthropoda; Insecta; Lepidoptera; Tortricidae.